CCUGCCCUUUUAGCUUAUCGUGUCCUAGUCAUUCUACCAAGGUGAUCUCUGUACUGCCAGAGCAAAUAUUUUCAUCAGCAGGACUGUUAGUUACGUAAACAAGGUGGUAAAAAAAUUGAAUUGUCCCAGAAAAAGUUGACAAGAUAAUACUAAAUAAGAACAAAUUUGUUGCACCCUGUGUUGACCCUCAGAUAAUGGUUAAAGUCCUAAUCAUCACCGCUUUGUUGAUCAUAAAUGUGUUUCUUUACGAUUCCCAAAUACUGUUGUUUUAGUAAUCAAUUUUCUAUAGAUAUUUAUUAAUUAAUUGAUUAGAUUAUUGCCAGUACAUGUAGUAAAUGAGCUAUUAAUUAUGGUAUAAAAUUCCUGGGACUAUUAUCUAGUCCAAGGUAUUGAUGUUGAGGGUUUUACGUCCAUAAAACAACUCCCCACAAUCCAUAAAUUGGGUUUAAUUUUGUGUUUCCAUUUAGAAUAUGUUUUUCCAAGCGAGUACUCUAGUAUCGCUCGGUAAAUCCAACGAGUACUCAAUUAGUAAAUCUUCACCGAGUUGACAUCCCUAAUAAAAAUUAAUCAACUGGAAAGGUACUCAGAUUUGAUUUGUAGGAAUUUAUAACAUUAUAGCCAAAGUCAGGUCAUCUGUCAACUGCAAAGCAGAAAAUUCAAUAUUUCAAAUUUUCUACCGCCAAAGAAAUUCAUUGAGUGGUACUAGGUACAUCAGGAAUUUUAAAAUUUAAAAAACACAUCACAAGAAACUGUUAGGAUACAAAAACAAUACUUUUCAUCUAUGGAGAUUAUCUGUCUUACCCCUAGUUGGGAAUUCAUCACCUUAUAAAAAUGAUACAGAUUAAUCUGGUCAAGUGAUAAAAAAUAAACAUUGGUGCACCUUAUCAAAAAUUUGUAAGGGUUCCACGGAACCCAGUGUCUGGCCUACUCUUGCUGUUAAUCACAGGCUCAACAAAAAUGAGGAAAAAAAUUAAUAAAAAUAUUCCUCUCUAUACUAUCUUUUGAUUGUAAGUAGCUUCUGUCCAAGUUUGGUAAAAAUCCAGGAUAGUUUAUGAAUCUAAUAAAUGUUUUAAAAACUUAAACUGCAGACUGUAUGUAAUGUUAACUGGAAGAAAAACUAAGUCCAUUUAUAAGUAAAAUACAGAAAAAAUGGAACAAAAUUUUAACAAAAUUUCCUUCUGAAUACUAUCUUAUGAUCAUAAACAAGCUUCUUUCCAAGUUUGGUACAAAUCCAAGAUAGUUUAAGAAAGUUGUUAAAAUUUUAAAAACUUUAACCACAGAGUGAAUGUAAUGUUAACUGGCAGAAAAACUAAGUCCAUUUAUAAGUAAAAUACAAAAAAAUGUAAUUUUUUUUUUACAAAAUUUACUUCUGGAUACUAUCUUAUGAUCAUAAACAAGCUUCUUUCCAAGUUUGGUAGAAAUCCAGGAUAGUUUAAGAAAGUUGUUAAAAUUUCAAAAACUUAAACCACAGAGUGAAUGUAAUGUUAACUGGCAGAAAAACUAAGUCCAUUUAUAAGUAAAAUACAAAAAAAUGUAAUUUUUUUUUUACAAAAUUUACUUCUGGAUACUAUCUUAUGAUCAUAAACAAGCUUCUUUCCAAGUUUGGUACAAAUCCAGGAUAGUUGAAGAAAGUUAUUAAAAUUUCAAAAACUUUAACCACAGAGUGAAUGUAAUGUUUCCUGGCAGAAAAAACUAAGUCCAUUUAUAAGUAAAAUACGGAAAAAAUGGAAUUUUUUUUUUACAAAAUUUACUUUUGAAGAUUAUCUUAUGAUCAUAAACAAGGUUCUGUCCAAGUUUGGUAGAAAUCCAGGAUGAUUUAAGAAAGUUAUUAAAAUUUCAAAAACUUUAACCACAGAGUAAAUAUUUGUGGACGCUGCCGACAACGACAAUGGAAUGUAGGAUCGCUAUGUCUCGCUUAUUCGACAAAAGUCGUAGGCUCGACAAUAAAGGGAGAAAAAAAUCUAGAUUUUCAAGGUCUAAGGCUGACUUUAUGGUAAUGUUACGGGGCAAUAUAAUGUUGUCUUUAUCUAUCCUGUACAUUAUAGGACAAUUACUCGACUCUAGUUGAUAAGAAUAUAUAUAUUACAGUGGUGAUUUUAUUGAAUUUCAUAUAGAACCAAAAUCCAUAUCAAAUGAUGAAGGACCAGAAGGUGCACAUAGUAUUGUUUUCAUAACAGUGUGGACGAGACCAUUUUUUGGCGCGCUCAAGUCUCCAAUUGACCAGGUUAAAUUAGGUGAACGUUCUUCUGUAACGCCCACUUAUCACGUCAAAUUUAUUAUAGAAAUUUAAACUGUAAGGUCACCAAAGGUUCUCAACUCCUGACUCAAAUAAUUCCAAAAACUAUUACAGGAAUAACCUUUGUGUUUUGAUUAAUAUUGAAUACUUAAACGUUCUUUACUUGCGUUUUUUAUGUUUUGAUCAACAAUUUCAUUUUAUGUAUUGAAAUGUGUAACAAGUGGUUAUCUAAAUCCCCACUGAAGGGCCUCUGUCAGACUGUGUGAGUGUAAAAUCAUUGUUAUAGAUAGCCGACAACAAACAAGUUAAAGGUAAAUGAUUCAGUAGUAUUAACAACAAAUGUACUACGGUUGUCCACACUGUUACGGGAAUACCUCUAAAAUUAACCUUUCUGUCAAAUUUGGUUGAGUAGUUUUCAGGAAAUUAUUUUGUUUUCUAUUUGCAAAAUAUACAGUCAUGCUACAACACUCAACAACAUAAAAGAAAUGCAUUGAUUUUCCUUAACUCUACUAGAUGCCAAAAAAACAUGUGUUCUUGCAAACAAAUGAAUUGCUCGAAUGUUUUUUUAAAUUACUAAAAUCUAUCAGCCAUCAAAGGUGGACUUCAUAGUAUCUGUUAAGCUAUGUAUUCUAGGGUCAGUACAAAUCAGAUGUGGAUACUAAAUAUAUUCAAAAGAUUUGUAAGAUUACUUGAAACCUCUCCUCAUGCAACAUAAAAAAAAAAAAACAUUUGACAUCUACCCAUACAAGUACAUCUUCGCUUGCCAAGGAUUACGAUCCAGAGAGAGGAUUGUAACCCUUGGCUAGCGAAGAUGAUACAAGUAUAGCUCAAUUGAAGCUUAACAUAUUAACCGAUUGAAAGAAUUUGUUCAAUUUUUUUUUAUAAGUAGUUUGUAAAGGGUUCUGUGGAACCACAUGUCUCAUCUGCUAUUUCUGUUGUCAGCAUAAUGCUGACUAAAUAAAAAUCCAAUAAUCAGUAAAAAUUGAAUUAUUUUGUAAUCUGAAAUUUUUUCAGAUGUUGUUUCUAGAUUUUGAAGAAGCUUGUCCACAUUUCAUAACAUCCCACGAAGCUUUGACAAAGUUAUAGAUGUAUAAAAAAUUCCAUUUAUUGCUAUUUUGUGUAUUUUCUCUUUGAUCUUUUUUUGUGAGAAUUUUUCUUAUCAUGCUACUCCCUUGAGAUAAAAAAUUAUUGUCAGAAAAUAAGGGCUCACGUGCUGUUGUCAAUGUAAACAUCAACGACGUCAUAGGCAGAAUAGAGAUCAACAGAUUGUCAAUGGUCUAUCAAACUGGAGGAUGUUUCUCUGUCACAUCUAAGGAGUUAGUAGCUGAGGAAACACCCUCUCAUUUGAAAAACCAUCCACAAUCUAUAGUUAUCAGUAAAAAAUGAAAAAAAAAAAAUAUUUGAA
Mytilus californianus (California mussel) is the source of this 3641-nucleotide long non-coding RNA. RefSeq lists it as uncharacterized. Lineage: Eukaryota; Metazoa; Mollusca; Bivalvia; Mytilida; Mytilidae. The transcript has 2 exons. The record is from RefSeq and is a predicted model, not a curated record.